GAUGAACGCUGGCGGCGUGCCUAAUACAUGCAAGUCGAGCGAACAGACGAGGAGCUUGCUCCUCUGACGUUAGCGGCGGACGGGUGAGUAACACGUGGAUAACCUACCUAUAAGACUGGGAUAACUUCGGGAAACCGGAGCUAAUACCGGAUAAUAUAUUUAACCGCAUGGUUCAAUAGUGAAAGACGGUUUUGCUGUCACUUAUAGAUGGAUCCGCGCCGCAUUAGCUAGUUGGUAAGGUAACGGCUUACCAAGGCAACGAUGCGUAGCCGACCUGAGAGGGUGAUCGGCCACACUGGAACUGGGACACGGUCCAGACUCCUACGGGAGGCAGCAGUAGGGAAUCUUCCGCAAUGGGCGAAAGCCUGACGGAGCAACGCCGCGUGAGUGAUGAAGGUCUUCGGAUCGUAAAACUCUGUUAUUAGGGAAGAACAAAUGUGUAAGUAACUAUGCACGUCUUGACGGUACCUAAUCAGAAAGCCACGGCUAACUACGUG
Molecule: ribosomal RNA, 497 nt
Filed under: uncultured bacterium
Lineage: Bacteria
Description: partial 16S ribosomal RNA
Rfam family: Bacterial small subunit ribosomal RNA
Source: RNAcentral